UACGGGGGGGGCAAGCGUUGUUCGGAAUUACUGGGCGUAAAGGGCUCGUAGGUGGCCAACUAGGUCACACGUGAAAUCCCUCGGCUUAACCGGGGAACUGCGUGUGAUACUGGAUGGCUUGAGUUUGGGAGAGGGAUGCGGAAUUCCAGGUGUAGCGGUGAAAUGCGUAGAUAUCUGGAGGAACACCGGUGGCGAAGGCGGCAUCCUGGACCAAUACUGACGCUGAGGAGCGAAAGCCAGGGGAGCAAACGGG
Molecule: ribosomal RNA, 253 nt
Filed under: uncultured bacterium
Lineage: Bacteria
Description: partial 16S ribosomal RNA
Rfam family: Bacterial small subunit ribosomal RNA
Source: RNAcentral